GACGAACGCUGGCGGCGUGCUUAACACAUGCAAGUCGAACGGAAAGGCCCUGCUUUUGUGGGGUGCUCGAGUGGCGAACGGGUGAGUAACACGUGAGUAACCUGACCUUGACUUUGGGAUAACUUCAGGAAACUGGGGCUAAUACCGGAUAGGAGCUCCUGCUGCAUGGUGGGGGUUGGAAAGUUUCGGCGGUUGGGGAUGGACUCGCGGCUUAUCAGCUUGUUGGUGGGGUAGUGGCUUACCAAGGCUUUGACGGGUAGCCGGCCUGAGAGGGUGACCGGCCACAUGGGGACUGAGAGACGGCCCAGACUCCUACGGUGGACAGCAGUGGGGAAUAUUGCACAAUGGGCGGAAGCCUGAUGCAGCAACGCCGCGUGCGGGAUGACGGCCUUCGGGUUGUAAACCGCUUUCGCCUGUGACGAAGCGUUAGUGACGGUAAUGGGUAAAGAAGCACCGGCUAACUACGUG
This 468-nucleotide ribosomal RNA is filed under the name uncultured bacterium. RNAcentral's name for it is "partial 16S ribosomal RNA". It matches the Rfam family "Bacterial small subunit ribosomal RNA", at positions 28 to 507 of the family's 1533-position model. The record is from RNAcentral.